UACGAAGGGACCUAGCGUAGUUCGGAAUUACUGGGCUUAAAGAGUUCGUAGGUGGUUGAAAAAGUUGGUGGUGAAAUCCCAGAGCUUAACUCUGGAACUGCCAUCAAAACUUUUCAGCUAGAGUGUGAUAGAGGAAAGCAGAAUUUCUAGUGUAGAGGUGAAAUUCGUAGAUAUUAGAAAGAAUACCAAUUGCGAAGGCAGCUUUCUGGAUCAUUACUGACACUGAGGAACGAAAGCAUGGGUAGCGAAGAGG
Molecule: ribosomal RNA, 253 nt
Filed under: uncultured Pelagibacterales bacterium
Lineage: Bacteria; Pseudomonadati; Pseudomonadota; Alphaproteobacteria; Candidatus Pelagibacterales
Description: partial 16S ribosomal RNA
Rfam family: Bacterial small subunit ribosomal RNA
Source: RNAcentral